Triticum aestivum (bread wheat) is the source of this 136-nucleotide non-coding RNA. The record is from Rfam. Lineage: Eukaryota; Viridiplantae; Streptophyta; Magnoliopsida; Poales; Poaceae.
UAAGUACUCCCUCCGAUCCCAAAAUUCUUGUCUUAGAUUUGUCUAAAUACGGAUGUAUCUAGUUACGUUUUAGUGUUAGAUACAUUCGUAUUUAGACAAAUCUAAGACAAGAAUUUUAAGACGGAGGGAGUACUUC